This 284-nucleotide ribosomal RNA is filed under the name uncultured bacterium. Its description in RNAcentral is "partial 16S ribosomal RNA". It matches the Rfam family "Bacterial small subunit ribosomal RNA", at positions 30 to 315 of the family's 1533-position model. The record is from RNAcentral.
AUUGAACGCUGGCGGCAUGCCUUACACAUGCAAGUCGAACGGCAGCACGGGAGCAAUCCUGGUGGCGAGUGGCGAACGGGUGAGUAAUAUAUCGGAACGUGCCCGGUCGUGGGGAUAACGUAGCGAAAGCUACGCUAAUACCGCAUACGAUCUACGGAUGAAAGCGGGGGAUCGCAAGACCUCGCGCGAUUGGAGCGGCCGAUAUCAGAUUAGGUAGUUGGUGAGGUAAAGGCUCACCAAGCCGACGAUCUGUAGCUGGUCUGAGAGGACGACCAGCCACACUG